RNA transcript from Octodon degus (degu), 597 nucleotides. It is a transcript of the gene named CB1 cannabinoid receptor-interacting protein 1 pseudogene, with no coding region annotated. Lineage: Eukaryota; Metazoa; Chordata; Mammalia; Rodentia; Octodontidae. The record is from RefSeq and is a predicted model, not a curated record. The transcript has a single exon.
GGGACCUGCCCGGCCUCGUGCGCCUCUCCAUUGCGCUGCGCUUGCAGCCCAAGGAAGACCCGGUCUUCUAUGAAGGUGGGUGGGCAGCGCUUCGGCCAGAACCGCACCAUCAAGCAGCUCACCGGCUCCUCUUACAAGGUGGAGGUGAGGAUUAAGCCCAUCACACUGCAGGUCGAGAACAUUUCCAUCGGAGGGGUGCUUGUCCCACUGGAGCUGAAGUGCAAAGAACCUGAUGGAGACCGAGUGGUGUACACGGGCACAUAUGACACAGGUGUGGCCCCAACUAAGAGUGGAGAACGACAGCCCAUCCAGAUCACCAUGCCGUUCACAGACAUUGGGACCUUCGAGACGGUGUGGCAAGUCAAGUUCUACAAUUACCACAAGCAAGACCACUGCCAGUGGGGAAGCCUCUUCUCUGUCAUUGAGUAGGAAUGCAAGCCCAAUGAGACACGCAGUCUCAUGUGGGUGAACAAGGAGUCCUUCCUCUGAAGACGGCUCUUUCUCAUGCUGCUGGACAAUCUCAGAAACCUACUUUUAGAUAAACCAGCACAAGCCUUGCCCAAGGCAUGUCACACCAUGGCUGUUUCCCUUCUGGAA